GUAGGGAAUAUUGCACAAUGGGGGAAACCCUGAUGCAGCGACGCCGCGUGAGUGAUGAAGGCCUUCGGGUCGUAAAGCUCUGUCGUAUGGGACUAACAAAAUGAAGGUACCAUGCAAGAAAGGAUCGGCUAACUUCGUGCCAGCAGCCGCGGUAAGACGAGGGAUCCUAGCGUUGUUCGGAAUUAUUGGGCGUAAAGCGGGUGUAGGCGGGCCUGUCAGUCAGGUGUGAAAUCCCAGGGCUUAACCCUGGAAGUGCACUUGAUACUGCAGGUCUUGAGUGUGGUAGAGGCUAUUAGAAUUCUUGGUGUAGUGGUGAAAUACGUAGAUAUCAAGAGGAAUACCGGAGGCGAAGGCGGAUAGCUGGGCCAACACUGACGCUGAGACCCGAAAGCGUGGGGAUCAAACAGGAUUAGAAACCCGAGUAGUCC
This 428-nucleotide ribosomal RNA is filed under the name uncultured bacterium. RNAcentral describes it as "partial 16S ribosomal RNA". It matches the Rfam family "Bacterial small subunit ribosomal RNA", at positions 354 to 796 of the family's 1533-position model. The record is from RNAcentral.